CAUACAGGUGGGUCCAUAACACAUGAGGAGCAUGCAAGACGCAUACAAAAUGCUAAGACAGACAAAGUUCCUCCAACAGCAGCUGAGUUGUUUGUCCACACCCAUACAAAGAAGAGUGAUCGCAACAAAUUUGUUGAUAAACGAGCUGAACUUGUUUAUGUAAGUUUCUAUAUAAACAAGUUGUCUUUCUAAGUAAUAUCUUGCAAGUAUGAUUUUGAUGUCUAUGUGAUUGACUUUUAGUUGUGUUAUUGAUUGAGUUGUUGAUUGAUUUUGAGUUGUGUAAUUGAUUUUCAGUUGCAAGUAUGAUUAUGAUAUCUAGGUGAUUCUCACAAGGAAAUUGUUUAUGAUUCUCAAUUGUGUGAUUGAUUUUGAGUUGUUGAUUGAUUUUGAGUUGUUGAUUGAUUUUGAGUUGUGUGAUUGAUUUUCGGUUGCAAGUAUGAUUAUGAUAUCUAGGUGAUUCUCACAAGGAAAUUGUUUAAGAUUCUCAGUUGUGUGAUUGAUUUUGAGUUGUGUGAUUGAUGUUUGAUUUUGAGUUGUGUGAUUGAUUUUCAAUUGCAAGUAUGAUUCUGAUAUCUAGGUGAUUCUCACAAGGAAAUUGUUCAAGAUUCUCAGUUGUGUGAUUGAUUUUUAGUUGUUGAUUGAUUUUGAGUUGUGUGAUUGAUUUUCGGUUACAAGUAUGAUUAUGAUAUCUAGGUGAUUCUCAUAAGGAAAUUGUUUAUGAUUCUCAGUUGUGUGAUUGAUUAUGAGUUGUUGAUUGAUUUUCAGUUGCAAGUAUGAUUCUGAUAUCUAGGUGAUUCUCACAAGGAAAUUGUUUAUGAUUCUCAGUUGUGUGAUUGAUUUUUCUAUUAUGAUAUCUUGCAAGUAUUGUAAAUGUGAUAUCUUGCAGGUAUUAUAAUUGUCAUAUCUUGUAGGUAUUACCAUUAUUCCUUACUUUAGUAUUCAAAUUGAACUGUUAUUCUGUGAUUUUCUAGGAAAAUUAUUUGAAGCUAAAAGAACAACAUUCAAGCCAGAAUGUGGGAUCAGAUCAUGUGGAAGGAGAUGGAGGAAAUAUUAAUGAGGAUCAAUUGUUCAUUGCUGCAGCAGGAGGAUGGCAAGGAAGUCGAGUUUAUGGUUUAGGUAGUGCUGCAUCUUCUGCCUUCUCUCAAACAGGAACUGUGGAAAAAACAACAGAUGUUCCAUCAUCACAAUCACCAGAAUGGAAGAAGGAAAUUGAAGCAAAGUUUGAUGAGAAGUAUAAUAGUUUGCAGAAACUNNN
RNAcentral lists this long non-coding RNA (1255 nucleotides) under Manihot esculenta (cassava). RNAcentral's name for it is "long non-coding RNA (MESC_LNC013165)". Lineage: Eukaryota; Viridiplantae; Streptophyta; Magnoliopsida; Malpighiales; Euphorbiaceae. The record is from RNAcentral.